Molecule: ribosomal RNA, 480 nt
Filed under: uncultured eukaryote
Lineage: Eukaryota
Description: bacterial SSU rRNA
Rfam family: Eukaryotic small subunit ribosomal RNA
Source: RNAcentral
ACUCACCAGGUCCGGACACAGUAAGGAUUGACAGAUUGAUAGCUCUUUCUUGAUUCUGUGGGUGGGGUGCAUGGCCGUUCUUAGUUCGUGGAGUGAUUCGUCUGGUUAAUUCCGAUAACGAACGAGACCUCAACCUGCUAACUAGUCCUGUCAAUUUUCCUUCACAGGGAUUGGCAGCUAAAAAAUUUAAGACUUCUUAGAGGGACUAUCAGGAAAUUUACAACUGGGGGAAGAGUGAGGCAAUAACAGGUCUGUGAUGCCCUUAGAUGUUCUGGGCUGCACGCGCGUUACACUGACCAAAGCAAUAAGUGCACAUAGUUAUUUUAUCGUAGCUGUUGUUCCUUGAUCGAUGGAUCUGGGUAAUCUUUGAACUUUGGUCGUGCUGGGGAUAGAUCAUUGUAAUUAUUGGUCUUCAACGAGGAAUCUCUAGUAAUCGCAAAUCAUUAAUUUGCGCUGACUACGUCCCUGCCCUUUGUACAC